RNAcentral lists this ribosomal RNA (433 nucleotides) under uncultured bacterium. Its description in RNAcentral is "partial 16S ribosomal RNA". It matches the Rfam family "Bacterial small subunit ribosomal RNA", at positions 29 to 507 of the family's 1533-position model. The record is from RNAcentral.
AACGAACGCUGGCGGCAGGCCUAACACAUGCAAGUCGAGCGAGGACUUCGGUCCUAGCGGCGGACGGGUGAGUAACGCGUGGGAACGUGCCCUUUGCUUCGGAAUAGCCCUGGGAAACUGGGAGUAAUACCGGAUGAGCCCUUUGGGGGAAAGAUGUAUCGGCGAAGGAUCGGCCCGGGUUGGUUUAGGUAGUUGGGGGUGUAAUGGCCUACCAAGCCGACGAUCCAUAGCUGGUUUGAGAGGAUGAUCAGCCACACUGGGACUGAGACACGGCCCAGACUCCUACGGGAGGCAGCAGUGGGGAAUAUUAGACAAUGGGGGAAAACGUGAUCUCGCCAUGCCGCGUGAGCGAUGAAGGCCUUAGGGUUGUAAAGCUCUUUCAGCUGGGAAGAUAAUGACGGUACCAGCAGAAGAAGCCCCGGCUAACUCCGUG